CCGCUAAUCAACAUCCACGUCCGGCAAUAUCACGUGAUCUGAGUGCUGGCUUGUUUGGACCAAUCAGAGGCGUCAGAGCAGCAGCGACGCAGACUCCCAGCGAUGGUCCUUCCGCAGGUUACGACGGGUGUCUGACCACGUUGCAUCUGAAGAACGUACCUGAGGAGUGAAUAAACAAUAAAUGUGUUAAAUGUAAUUAUUUGAUGCUCAGUGGGAUCAAUGCUUUUGUCAAAAACAUCCUGUAUGAUUACCUUAUACGAGUUACAACUGUAGCUAGAAAAUCUCAUGUUGACCUGAAUGCAGAUAAUGUACCUUGUACGAAUGGACAGCAUCAUAUUUGACUAUUUUUCUUAUCAAAUCUUGUGAAAAGAGUUAAGUGACAAACUGAUGACUUGCACAAUUUAAGACUUAAUGAAACCU
Molecule: long non-coding RNA, 420 nt
Organism: Stegastes partitus (bicolor damselfish)
Lineage: Eukaryota; Metazoa; Chordata; Actinopteri; Pomacentridae
Exons: 2
Source: RefSeq, a predicted model, not a curated record